Molecule: ribosomal RNA, 247 nt
Filed under: uncultured bacterium
Lineage: Bacteria
Description: partial 16S ribosomal RNA
Rfam family: Bacterial small subunit ribosomal RNA
Source: RNAcentral
CCGGGGCAACCCGGUGAGUAAAGUGGCGUACGGGUGAGUAACACGUGGAUAAUCUACCCUGGAGUGGGGAAUAACGCUGGGAAACCGGCGCUAAUACCGCAUAAUCCCGAGAGGGCAAAGGAGCAAUUCGCUUCAGGAGGAGUCCGCGGCCGAUUAGCUAGUUGGCAGGGUAAAAGCCUACCAAGGCAACGAUCGGUAGCCGGCCUGAGAGGGCACACGGCCACACUGGCACUGAAACACGGGCCAG